AACUGAUACUACCUGCGGGAACCUGCGGAAGGAUCAUUAGUGAACGCCCUCACGGGCUUAUAACUAUUCCAAACCUCUGUGAACCGUGCCCUUCGGGGCUAUUUUACAAACAUGGCGUAAUGAACGUCAUAUAUCAUAACAAAACAAAACUUUUAGCAACGGAUCUCU
Molecule: unclassified non-coding RNA, 168 nt
Filed under: soil metagenome
Description: partial contains 5.8S ribosomal RNA, internal transcribed spacer 2, and large subunit ribosomal RNA
Source: RNAcentral